UGGAAUGGCUUGCAAAGUGAGAUAAGAAUGGAAUCUCUCAAAAAAAAAAAUUGAGAGAACACGUCUUGCACAGCGUAAAAGUAAACUUCUCUUUUUAGGGCAAAUUUUAAUUUCUUCUUUUCCCUUUCAUUAGUAUUUCCAUUUCUUUGCAAAUCAGUGAAUCCAAAUCGGUGACUCACUCGUCUUUCCCUCUUCAACAACGGUAAAGCUGCUGAAACAAACACAGCGCAAAGGUGUGAAGAUUAACCCUAUUCCUCUCAACAACUUCACCACUCAGAGUUUUAACCAAAUGGAAGGAGAAUGGGAGAGAGAAUUGACUGAGAUGCUUCAAGAUAUGAAAGUUCCAUCCAUGGAAGAACUCCAAAUGCAAUGCAUUUAUAGGGUACCACAAACUAUUCGUGAAGAUAAUCCCAAAGCUUACACACCUCAAAUUCUUUCAAUUGGCCCUUAUCAUCACAACAGUUUUAAGACAAUGGAAAACCUCAAACUGAUAUAUCUCAAAGAAUUUCUAAAUAGAUGUCAAUUAUCAGUGGAAUAUUUCGUCCAGUUACUCAAAAGUUCGGAAGAAAGAAUUCGAAGUUAUUACGCAGCACCCAUUAAUGGUGAUGAUUUUAGUUGAUGCUUGCUUCAUAAUUGAGUUUUUUCUAAGAUUCAAUUAUGACGGUCCUUUCUUGCUAGAACCAUGGAUGGAAGAGUAUAUUUCCGUUGACUUGAUACUAAUGGAAAAUCAACUUCCAUUUUUUGUUCUUGAACAACUUUACAGCGUCACUGGUAAAUAAGGAGAUGGAUCGUUACAAGAAACAAGACGUUGAUGAUUGUAUCUGAUUUUGUCUAAGUUGUAUUUGUAAGAGAACCUUGUAAGGUGAUUUACUUUGCUGUUUCUUUUCUUUCAUCAAAAUCAUUCAUUUC
Vigna unguiculata (cowpea) is the source of this 909-nucleotide long non-coding RNA. The record is from RefSeq and is a predicted model, not a curated record. Lineage: Eukaryota; Viridiplantae; Streptophyta; Magnoliopsida; Fabales; Fabaceae.